RNAcentral lists this ribosomal RNA (449 nucleotides) under uncultured bacterium. RNAcentral describes it as "partial 16S ribosomal RNA". It matches the Rfam family "Bacterial small subunit ribosomal RNA", at positions 29 to 523 of the family's 1533-position model. The record is from RNAcentral.
AACGAACGCUGGCGGCAUGCCUAACACAUGCAAGUCGAACGAGAUCUUCGGGUCUAGUGGCGCACGGGUGCGUAACGCGUGGGAAUCUGCCCUUUGGUUCGGAAUAACAGUUGGAAACGACUGCUAAUACCGGAUGAUGACGAAAGUCCAAAGAUUUAUCGCCAGAGGAUGAGCCCGCGUAGGAUUAGCUAGUUGGUGUGGUAAAGGCGCACCAAGGCGACGAUCCUUAGCUGGUCUGAGAGGAUGAUCAGCCACACUGGGACUGAGACACGGGCCAGACUCCUACGGGAGGCAGCAGUGGGGAAUAUUGGACCAUGGGCGUAAGCCUGAUCCAGCAAUGCCGCGUGAGUGAUGAAGGCCUUAGGGUUGUAAAGCUCUUUUACCCGGGAUGAUAAUGACAGUACCGGGAGAAUAAGCUCCGGCUAACUCCGUGCCAGCAGCCGCGGUAA